Molecule: long non-coding RNA, 2224 nt
Filed under: Panax ginseng (ginseng)
Lineage: Eukaryota; Viridiplantae; Streptophyta; Magnoliopsida; Apiales; Araliaceae
Description: long non-coding RNA (PGIN_LNC009184)
Source: RNAcentral
UUAAUAAGUAAUUUACUUCAUCAUGAAUGAAUUAAAAACUUAAUAAAGUAAAGAAUUUAUCAUCCCAAUUACAAAAACUGAAUUAAAGACUAAGAAUAGUAAUACACCACCCUUAUCUUCACUCAAAUCUACAAUUUUUGUGAAUCUUGAUUCCAUGCUUUGCUCCUCCAUUGUUCUUUAGAAAUUAGGGCUCAACAGUGUAAUUGAUUGUGUGUAUGAUUAAUCUAUGUGUUCAUCCCCUUUUGUCUCUAUAAUACUGAUAAAAAAACGUCCACACACAGUCCCAAUCCAAGCCAAAGUUGAUCGGUCCACGAAUCUGUAGUAUUUGAAUUGCAUCAGAAGUCUCUCUCUGUCCGCGUACCCCCGCCCCAGCGGGGGUUUUUAGCCUUGUCAUGCCUUACCUCGGCGGGGGGUCAAGAUUAUGUUUGCCACGUACACCCCCGCCCCGACGGGAGUUUUCUUCUUUAUAGGGCCCGCCUUGCGAGGGUAUGAUUAUGUAAAAACUGAUUUUUGCCUUUUGCAUGACAAAUCCUGCCGCGUCGCCACCAUUAUACCACAACUAACACAUAAUGCAUCAUACACACAAAACAAAAACAAGUAAAACUGUACAGAAAUAGACAUGAUCAACACUAUUUAAGUCUAAAUAGGAACCCAAUUCGUAGGUAUAAAACUCACUCAUCAGCUACCACUGGCAUCAUAAAAAGUCUCCGUAGCAAGGGAAGCCUGAUCACCAUCAUCAUUAAAACACAACUCUAUGUAGGAAGAAGUUUGAACCAACAUCAUCAUCAUCAAAAUUAGUCGUGCUAACAACCGAAUAUUCCGCAGUCGUCCCACUCGUGAAAACUAGAUCCGAGUUGGGCCAGGUGCCAAAAAAUAUGGUCCAAUUGGUGGGGGUUUAUUGAUUUAUUUGUUUAUGAGAAAGUUGAAGGACGAGGCAAUUUUUGUCAAAUAGAACCAAUCUCUAGCCAGAAGAAGUACUCUCAUUCCUUUUUUUGUUUCGUUUUCCCCAAACCCGAUUGUUGAAGUCAUAUGGUUCCAAUUCCUCCCAUUUAUUACUGAAGCAUAAUGUUGCCGAAGACCGAUGGGUUUGUCCCGAAGGCCUAUGAGUUUGUUGAAAGGGAUGUCAAACGAAAUGCCAAAGUUCCACUUUGUAGUGAUAGAUUGUCUCUGGGUGAAUGAGAGAUGAUAUGAGUAAUUUUGGAGCGAAAAAUCUUAGCUACCACAAACUCUAAAGUUGUUUUAUUUAUUACUUCCAAGACCACAAUGACAUGGCCGAAGAAGUGAAAGUGUCUGGCCCAAUUUUUAGGAUGAAAAUUCUUAGCUCCUCAAUUUGAGACUACUGCUUCAAUUCUCUUGAGUCCGAAUCGUUUUUGAAUCCACAAAUUGUUGAGGUCCCCUCUGCAAGGGUGUAGCUCUGAACCCUCCAUAACCUUCCUACCACUGCUGAAAAGAAUCCAUAGUCUCAUGGAGAAGUCUUUAACUCUUUUAUUUUCACUGUGAAGAAACUAGGCACACUCCUUUUUUCUCUACUCGAUCUCUAGAAGCACGAAAACUUCAAACUCUAAUACUUGGAUUCAGAAUUUGCAACUUAAAUUGUAAUAGUAGAUUCACUACCCCAAAAUCUGCUUCAACCAUCGGUGAAAAAGUAAUAGUAGUAUGUAAGGCUGCAAUCAUUUUUCUUUCUUCUUCUUUUUUGAUUUUGGUCGAGGCGAUGAUGGAGAGGGAAGGGAAAUCGGUGAGCAGCGCCACUGCGGAGUGGUUAUUUCUAGCAGCGGCGGUGAUCUCAUCCAUUUUGUGUUGGUGAAGGAGUUCUUCUUUGUGCUCUUCAGAAUCCAAAGCUCAAGCACUGGUUUAGCCCAUGCCUCACUCAUCACAGUCGCUGCCAUGUUUUCUCUGUAAAAAUUUCCUUCUCUAAAAAAUUGUGUUUCUUUUUUAGAACACACUUAGCCGUAUCAAUACUUCGGUGUCUAUCAGACAAAGAGAUUGAACAGUUGAAUUGGAUUUGCAGACUGCGAUUAGUUGAUGAAAGGUGACAAACUUUAAUUAUACUCUGUGGUUGAUGAUGAAACCAAAGUCGCCUUUAAAGCAUUUCAAUAAUAUUAAAGCUUAAACUUUUAUCUGUGUGCUGGUUGGAUUCGUUACUAGUGUGGCAGCUCAGCACCAAUUUAUCAUCACCUAGACUAAAGUGUUAAUGUUUAGAUUUUACAUGAAUCAUGUGAAUACU